UGGGUGUCUUUGACGCCCGUGAAAUACCACUACCUCUGACGCUGUUUCACUUACUCGGUGGAAAACAAUCCCUCUGGCAGUUUCAGACUGCCGGAGUUUGCCUGACGUUAGCCGGAGACUUUGUCAGGUUGGGAGUUUGGCUGGGGCGGCACAUCUGUUAAACGAUAACACAGGUGUCCUAAGAUUAGCUCAGCGAGAACAGAAAUCUCGUGUAGAGCAGAAGGGUAAAUGCUAAUUUUAUG
RNAcentral lists this ribosomal RNA (242 nucleotides) under Minchinia chitonis. Its description in RNAcentral is "partial Eukaryotic large subunit ribosomal RNA". It matches the Rfam family "Eukaryotic large subunit ribosomal RNA", at positions 2470 to 2726 of the family's 3401-position model. Lineage: Eukaryota; Endomyxa; Ascetosporea; Haplosporida; Haplosporidiidae. The record is from RNAcentral.